This 382-nucleotide ribosomal RNA is filed under the name uncultured bacterium. Its description in RNAcentral is "bacterial SSU rRNA". It matches the Rfam family "Bacterial small subunit ribosomal RNA", at positions 29 to 414 of the family's 1533-position model. The record is from RNAcentral.
AUUGAACGCUGGCGGCAUGCCUUACACAUGCAAGUCGAACGGUAACGCGGGGCAACCUGGCGACGAGUGGCGAACGGGUGAGUAAUGCAUCGGAACGUGCCCAGUAGUGGGGGAUAGCCCGGCGAAAGCCGGAUUAAUACCGCAUGAGACCUGAGGGUGAAAGCGGGGGAUCGCAAGACCUCGCGCUAUUGGAGCGGCCGAUAUCAGAUUAGCUAGUUGGUGGGGUAAAGGCCUACCAAGGCAACGAUCUGUAGUUGGUCUGAGAGGACGACCAGCCACACUGGGACUGAGACACGGCCCAGACUCCUACGGGAGGCAGCAGUGGGGAAUUUUGGACAAUGGGCGCAAGCCUGAUCCAGCAAUGCCGCGUGCAGGAAGAAGG